GACGAACGCUGGCGGCGUGCCUAAUACAUGCAGGUUGAGCGCUGAAGGUUGGUACUUGUACCAACUGGAUGAGCAGCGAACGGGUGAGUAACGCGUGGGGAAUCUGCCUUUGAGCGGGGGACAACAUUUGGAAACGAAUGCUAAUACCGCAUAAAAACUUUAAACACAAGUUUUAAGUUUGAAAGAUGCAAUUGCAUCACUCAAAGAUGAUCCCGCGUUGUAUUAGCUAGUUGGUGAGGUAAAGGCUCACCAAGGCGAUGAUACAUAGCCGACCUGAGAGGGUGAUCGGCCACAUUGGGACUGAGACACGGCCCAAACUCCUACGGGAGGCAGCAGUAGGGAAUCUUCGGCAAUGGACGAAAGUCUGACCGAGCAACGCCGCGGGAGUGAAGAAGGUUUUCGGAUCGUAAAACUCUGUUGGUAGAGAAGAACGUUGGUGAGAGUGGAAAGCUCAUCAAGUGACGGUAACUACCCAGAAAGGGACGGCUAACUACGUG
RNAcentral lists this ribosomal RNA (497 nucleotides) under uncultured bacterium. Its description in RNAcentral is "partial 16S ribosomal RNA". It matches the Rfam family "Bacterial small subunit ribosomal RNA", at positions 28 to 507 of the family's 1533-position model. The record is from RNAcentral.